This 460-nucleotide ribosomal RNA is filed under the name uncultured bacterium. RNAcentral's name for it is "partial 16S ribosomal RNA". It matches the Rfam family "Bacterial small subunit ribosomal RNA", at positions 338 to 795 of the family's 1533-position model. The record is from RNAcentral.
CCUACGGGAGGCAGCAGUGAGGAAUAUUGGUCAAUGGCCGUAAGGCUGAACCAGCCAAGUCGCGUGAAGGAAGAAGGAUCUAUGGUUUGUAAACUUCUUUUAUAGGGGAAUAAAGGUAUUCACGUGUGGAUCUUUGCAUGUACCCUAUCAAUAAGCAUAGGCUAACUCCGUGCCAGCAGCCGCGGUAAUACGGAGGAUGCGAGCGUUACCCGGAUUUAUUGGGUUUAAAGGGUACGUAGGGUGUUUUUUAAGUCAGGGGUGAAAGUUUGUGGCUCAACCAGAGAAUUGCCGUUGAAACUGGGAGGCUGGAGUGUGUUAGAGGCGAGUGGAAUGCGUUGUGUAGGAGUGAAAUCCUUAGAUAUCACGCAGAACCCCGAUUGCGAAGGCUACCAGCCAGGCCAUGACUGACGCUGAUGCGCGAAAGCGUGGGGAGCAAACAGGAUUAGAUACCCCAGUAGUC